RNAcentral lists this small nucleolar RNA (128 nucleotides) under Procavia capensis (Cape rock hyrax). RNAcentral describes it as "Small nucleolar RNA ACA64 (ENSPCAG00000019825.1)". It matches the Rfam family "Small nucleolar RNA ACA64". The record is from RNAcentral. Lineage: Eukaryota; Metazoa; Chordata; Mammalia; Hyracoidea; Procaviidae.
GCUGGUUGAAAAUCUACUGUGACUUUGCCAGUGGAUGCAGAUGAGAUUCGGGUCCCACAACCACCAGGGGCCUCAGCUCACUGCCCACUGCCUUAGUGUGAGAAGCAGAAAUCCAGGACCCAACAGGU